UCAUUGCGCAGAAAAUAAACAAAAGAAGAAAAAAUAAAGUGAACAAAUAUAUAAAACACCAGGAAAAGUUAAAAAAAAUGUUGAAGAUUUAAUUAAUUUAUUUUUUUUACUGCAAUAAUGUUAUCAAUAUUUACAUAUAGCAUUAUAAAGUAAAUGAGAAAUACGAAACGAAAGUUAAGUUAAAUUUGUAAUAAUUUUAAUUCUUUGAAUGUAAUCGAUUUUCCACAUGUGUUAAAUUUGGAUACCAGGAGAGCGAUUUGCAACAGGAAACUUAAAAGGAACUAAAGUAAGCCUAUUAAACAUUUAUUACCCAGUCUCCUAAUCAUUUUAAUGAAUAUUUCCAUUUCCCUGGUCUUAAUUGUAAUUUUCUGUUAUAAAACUUUAUACUUCAGUACAUUUGGUUGCAUAUACGUUUUCAUGUAAAUAGUAAAUUCUCCUGUCACCGGGAUUUUUUUAGAGUAGUUAUAUGAAAUUUAGUUUAUUUGAUGGUUCUUCUCAAUUCAAAUGAUACAUGAUGCAAAAAACUAAACCCAUUACAAAAUCUAACCUAUUUCUAAGGAAAAAUGAUAGGAUUUACAGAGGUCAUUUCAUCCCAUGAAGGCGAGUUACACGUGUUGUACAAGAUGUGUCAAGGAGAAAGUAACAAUCAGGGUAUACUAAUUACAGAAGAGAGAGAGAGGUUUAAAGUAUCUCUUCAUUCUAAUACUUGGAUUAUACAACGGGUACUAAACUUGCUAGACAGGAAAGAGAAACUGAGGACUGUGGGACGGCUGUGUCACGUGACAUCUUCUUCCUCACACCUCCAGGUUUUUCAGAGAAAGAAACGAUUGUAGUGAUGGGUAACACAUUUUGCUUCAUGGUACUUCUGCUUCUUUUUCCAGAGAGUGGACAGAGCAGCACUAUAGCUUGUACAUCGAGAGAUGAAGAGCUCUCUUAUGACCGCAGUGUACUUGCAGAAAACACGUUCGCCAACUUUACUUAUCAGCUAAAAUCGAUGGCGAAUAUUGAAAAAUCUGAUUAUCGCAUCGAAAUAAAGCUAUGUGACAUUGGUACACUCUAUGAAUCGUGUAGGUGCCGAUGGUUCUUAAAUUCUGAUCCAGUCUGCAGAAGUAUGAAAAAUGAUUCGUUCUGUGAUGCCGACGAAUCCGAAAUGCGGGUUUCUUUGCUCAUCAGGAGAACUUAUACUGAUGUUUUAUGGGUGCUUUUAAAACAGAGCUCACCCCCAUCUGUUCUGAAGCACACAACUGUACAAGUCACUUACCAGGCAAAAAUCACAGAUUUGUAUUUAAAUGGACAGGAGGCUAACGGGACACACAUCGUUGACGAAAAUGAGGAUGUCAACAUUUCAUGUUUCUUUAUAAAUGGAAAUCCUCCGGUCAGCAUCCGCAUGGUGGACGGCACUGGUCACACUCUCAGCUCUGUGAGACAUGGUCAGGGUCCUCUAACACUGUCACUAGGAGUGGUCCACUGUCACAAUGUGUGGCCGACCAUCAGGUGUGAGGCGCCUGGCUCAGAACUGAACAAAUCUGUGGUCAUCCUUGUGAUAUGUCGACCCCAGCUGUCCUACAUAAGUAAACAAGUCACAGAUGUACAGAAAGUUUUAACUGAAGGUCUGACAUUGGCUAUGAGAUCCUACACCAGAAACAUCAGGAAGUGUCUGAUGACCCAGGUACAGCCGAUUACUUCCACCAGGGAAGUGAAAUGCGAAGUGAGUGGACAUGCCCCUGUAUCAAACUAACCCUGAGCUCUUUCGAUGAAACCUGGAUUGGAGAAGGGGUCUGGACAUUGCAUGUUGUCAGCGAGCAAGGGGACUCAAGCAUUACUUUCCAUCUCGUCAACAGCACUGACAGGCUCGCUGUUUUCCAUGGAAUCAGCUGGAACAUAUUUCUAGUGAUCUGGACACAUUCCAGGCUCACAAGAGGAGGAGUAACUACAAGGCAGAUCAAUUUAUUCUGUGAAGCUUAGUUUACUUUUAAUUUAAUGACACUCUACUUGAUGCUGAGGGGAUCAAAGAUUUCUGUUGUUAACCACAACAAUGGAUUAAGAUUUAUUUCUGAAAGAAUAAAAACCAGAUAUUACCAAUGUCAAAAUGAUUUAUUGCGCCCAUUUUAUUUUGUGAGCAUGCGGGCAAUUUAAUUAAAUUCACUAAAAUUAAAAAAUUGCAACGGAAAUGAAAUACAUCGGCUUAAAGCAGUUUGAUAUGUAGACAGAAAUUGCGUGGUCGUAGACAAGGGAGGUAAUCACUACCUUAAAGUCGUGCAGUUUAGUCAUUAAUGCCCUUGGCAUAUCUCUAGAUAUACGACUUUCCUGUCCAAGAGUCGCUCUUUAUCCACUCACAUGAUGUUUCUGGACCCUUAACAACGUCAUCGAUGUCAGCAU
RNAcentral lists this unclassified non-coding RNA (2379 nucleotides) under Pomacea canaliculata. RNAcentral describes it as "uncharacterized LOC112569239, transcript variant X1". The record is from RNAcentral. Lineage: Eukaryota; Metazoa; Mollusca; Gastropoda; Architaenioglossa; Ampullariidae.